Molecule: transfer RNA, 111 nt
Filed under: Candidatus Bathyarchaeota archaeon
Lineage: Archaea; Thermoproteati; Candidatus Bathyarchaeota
Description: tRNA-OTHER
Rfam family: tRNA
About the family: Transfer RNA (tRNA) molecules are approximately 80 nucleotides in length. Their secondary structure includes four short double-helical elements and three loops (D, anti-codon, and T loops).
Source: RNAcentral
GCGGGGGUACCCGAGCCAGGUCUAAAUAGGCGGCCAGUAAGCCUAAGAUAUGGGGGAGGACUUAAGAUCCUCUGGCGAAGGCCUCCGUGGGUUCGAAUCCCACCCCCCGCA